Molecule: small RNA, 2433 nt
Filed under: Arabidopsis thaliana (thale cress)
Lineage: Eukaryota; Viridiplantae; Streptophyta; Magnoliopsida; Brassicales; Brassicaceae
Description: ATSL194250
Rfam family: MIR2933 microRNA precursor family (bases 2027-2138)
Source: RNAcentral
UUUUGUAAAUAGACAAAAGCUUACCUCAGAAACAUCAUUUACAAGGUUUACGACCUUGAAAAACUCUGGAGUAGUAGUGCUUUUCCACUUCAAUAUCAAUGGAUAUUCAGAUUGGAAUUCCUUAUCUCUAACUCCAUAUGCUGCACCAAAUGCUGGAACUGCGCUCAACACCCAUCUUGUUAGCGCGAGUCCAAAUCCUCUCAAAUCAUAUUUCUCUUUUGCCCAAGUUUUCUCGUCCAUUCUCAGAAUUGAAUUUGAUAGAACACUGAAUGCUUCUUUACCCAACGGUUGGGCUGUGUACAUCUCAAAAUCAGAAGCAUGCUGCAAUCUUGGCAAACGUAUCUUCUCUUUUCCAUAUGGUGUCAAAAGAAUUCCUUCAGUCAACACUACUGCAGCAAGACACAACUUUUCUUCAUCUUCAACAGCAGGUUCACCUUCCUUAGGUUUUAAAAACAAUCGAUCUUCGAGAUCACCAAGAGUAUAGGAUCCUUCACUAGCCCAAAAGUAUGGUUCUUUUACAGGAUCUUUCCCCUUUCGUCGAAGUUCCCUAUGAACAGGUUCACAUUGAAUUCCUGUAAGAACAAAAGACAGUUUAGAGACUAUUAUUACAGGUUUUAUACUAAAUACUUUAAAAACGAUUGUAAAUCAUGUUUAACACUUUUAAAAGCUUUUAAAAUCCCUUAUAAAUCAUUCAAUGUCACUUACUUAUGCUUUAAAAACGAUUGUAAACCAUGCAGACACUUUUAAAAUCCCUUGUAAAUCAUUCUAUGACACUUACUUAUGCUUUAAAAACAAUUGUAAAUCAUGUUUAACCCUUCUAAAAGCUUUUAAAAUCCCUUGUAAAUCAUUCUAUUCAACUUACUUAUGCUUAAAAAACGAUUGUAAAUCAUGUUUAACCCCUUAGAAAAGGUUUUAAAAUCCCUUGUAAAUCAUUCUAUUCAACUUACUUAUGCUUAAAAAACGAUUGUAAAUCAUGUUUAACCCUUAGAAAAGAUUUUAAAAUCCCUUGUAAAUUAUUCUAUCCCACUUACUUAUGUUUUAAAAUCGAUUGUAAACCAUGCAAACACUUCUAAAAUCCCUUGUAAAUCGUUUUAAGACACUUACUUAUGCUUUUAAAAUCCCAUGUAAACGUGUUUAACACUUCUUUAAGCUUUUAAAAUCCCUUGUAAAUUAUUCUAUGUUAGUUACUUAUGCCUAAAAACGGUUGUAAACCAUGCAUACCCUUUUUAAAAUCCCUUGUAAAUCAUUAUCUGCCACUAACUUAUGCUUCUUAAAUAAUUGUUAAUGAAGUAAACCCCUUUUAAAAGCUUUUAAAAUCCCUUGUAAAUUAUCUAUAACACUUACUUAUGUUUUAAAAAUGAUUGUAAACUACGCAAACAGUUAUGCAAAUGCCUUGUAAAUCAUUCUACGACAGUUAAUUAAGCUUUAAAAACGAUUGUAAAACUUUAUUACCUGUUGUGAGAUAGAACUCUCUCAAGGAGAAACAGAUAGGUUGAGAAUCAACUCUAAACCAAAGAGUUGAUCCUUUUGUUUUCACUCUCUGCUGCAUGAGAUAGUGAAAGAUUUUCCCAGAAAAUCUGAUUCCCUUCUUAGCCUUCAUUUUUGGUCCCAAUUCAACUAGAAGACCAAGAAACGAACUUCUAAUCUUCUGAAAUAAACACUCGCCUAAAGCUUCCUCUACUUUACUAACUAAAUUCCAAUCCAAGUAUUGUUGAACGGUUCCCAGUGCAAUAGAUUCCUCACCUUCUCUGUAGAUCUGUUCAGGCAAUGUAAGGAUUUCACUCUCUGAAUCCAUCUGCAAAACAUGUUAUGAAACAUCGUCAGAUCUACUAUAAAAUCGACUAUAAAAUCGAUUAUAAAAACGGUUACCGUCGGAUCUAUCGAUAUCUCUGGGGAUUGUUUGCGUCGUAGAGAAAUGAUCUGAAUCCGUCAGCGAAGAACAGAUUUAUCGGAGAGGAAAUUCGUCAGCGAUUUUGGGGUUUCUCGGAGAGAAAAUUUGUCGGCGAUUUUGAGUGAAAUCGGAGAGGAAAUUCGUUGGCGAUUUUGAGUGAAAUCGGAGAGGAAAUUCGUCGGCAAUUUUGAGUGAAAUCGGAGAGGAAAUUCGCCGGCGAUUUUGAGUGAAAUCGGAUAGGAAAAUUCGUUGGCCAAAACGAAGAAGUUUGUGCCAAAACGAAUUGUAUUGUGAAACGAAUGUGAAACCUAAUCAUUCAGUAAGGGUAAGACAGUCAUUUGCCAUAUUAGAAAGGGUAGUUUUAAAAAUGGCCUUCAGGAAAGGACAUUUUUACAAAAGGUUAUUAGAAUAAGGGCAGUUUUGCAAAUCUCCCAAUUAAAUAUUAAAGUAUUUUGAAUCAAUGGCAUUUUUGUAAUUAAUCUAAACCGGAAGGAUAUUUUUUGGUUUAUAUUUUAUUUCUCUUUCCUAUUUACGUAAAUAAC